UGCCAGCAGCCGCGGUAAUACGGAGGGGACUAGCGUUGUUCGGAAUUACUGGGCGUAAAGAGUACGUAGGCGGCUAGACAAGUUGGGUGUGAAAGCCCAGGGCUCAACCCUGGAACUGCACUCAAAACUGUUUAGCUAGAGAUCGGAAGAGGUAAGUGGAAUUCCCAGUGUAGAGGUGAAAUUCGUAGAUAUUGGGAAGAACACCGGUGGCGAAGGCGGCUUACUGGUCCGAGACUGACGCUGAGGUACGAAAGCGUGGGGAGCAAACAGGAUUAGAUA
RNAcentral lists this ribosomal RNA (279 nucleotides) under uncultured bacterium. RNAcentral describes it as "partial 16S ribosomal RNA". It matches the Rfam family "Bacterial small subunit ribosomal RNA", at positions 506 to 784 of the family's 1533-position model. The record is from RNAcentral.